This 497-nucleotide ribosomal RNA is filed under the name uncultured bacterium. Its description in RNAcentral is "partial 16S ribosomal RNA". It matches the Rfam family "Bacterial small subunit ribosomal RNA", at positions 28 to 507 of the family's 1533-position model. The record is from RNAcentral.
GAUGAACGCUGGCGGCGUGCCUAAUACAUGCCAGUCGAGCGAACGGACGAGAAGCUUGCUUUUCUGAUGUUAGCGGCGGACGGGUGAGUAACACGUGGAUAACCUACCUAUAAGACUGGGAUAACUUCGGGAAACCGGAGCUAAUACCGGAUAAUAUUUUGAACCGCAUGGUUCAAAAGUGAAAGACGGUCUUGCUGUCACUUAUAGAUGGAUCCGCGCUGCAUUAGCUAGUUGGUAAGGUAACGGCUUACCAAGGCAACGAUGCAUAGCCGACCUGAGAGGGUGAUCGGCCACACUGGAACUGAGACACGGUCCAGACUCCUACGGGAGGCAGCAGUAGGGAAUCUUCCGCAAUGGGCGAAAGCCUGACGGAGCAACGCCGCGUGAGUGGUGAAGGUCUUCGGAUCGUAAAACUCUGUUAUUAGGGAAGAACAUAUGUGUAAGUAACUGUGCACAUCUUGACGGUACCUAAUCAGAAAGCCACGGCUAACUACGUG